This 853-nucleotide long non-coding RNA is filed under the name Physcomitrium patens. RNAcentral's name for it is "long non-coding RNA (PPAT_LNC014580)". The record is from RNAcentral. Lineage: Eukaryota; Viridiplantae; Streptophyta; Bryopsida; Funariales; Funariaceae.
AUAAAAAUAAAUUAUAAAUUAACCUUAUAGAAAUAUUUAUAAUAAAAAAAUCUUAAAAUAUAUCAAAGAAAUCUUAAAGAAAUAUUAAAAAUAAUCAUCUUAAUUUAAUCCUAAUUAAAUUCUAAUGUAAUCCUCAAAAAAUUUAAAAAAAUCCUAAUCAAAACUUAAAAAAUCCUAGUAAAAUCCUAAAUCCUAAUUUCACACCAAAUAUUAAUGAAAUUCUAACCAAAUUCUAAAUCAAACCUUAAUCAGAUCCUAUAUUCAAACUAAAUUUUAAUUAAAUCCUAAAUCCUAUUUUUAGAUCAAAUAUUAAUAAAAUUCUAAACCAACCUUAAUAAAAUCUUUAUUAAAUCCUAAAUAUUAACUAAAUCUUAAUCAAAUCUUAAAUUUUAACUGAAUCCUAAGAAAAUCUUAAUCAAUUACUAUAGGUAUUUUAAAAUCUAAAUAAAUAUUAAAUAAAUCCUUGAUCUUUACUAAAAUUUUACAUAUGCUUUGAUCCACAAGCAAUUUAUAAGCAUACAAAAUUUGAGAAGAAUCAAAUCACUAAUUGAAAGAAAGCUUUCAAAACCUCUUGGAUGUUGGCUAUCUUCUCUUUCUAAUUUGAAUAUUGAUCUUCUAACAACAAUGAUUUCUCCUUGAUGAAUCUCUUAAUUGCUCCACUAUUUAGUUGAUAUAUAGGUAUUUAAGUCUAAACUGAUCUCAUUAAUUUUUACUUCAAUCAAACUAGUAGAUGUUGCAAGAUCACAAAAAUCCUCCCUAAUCCUAAAUCUCAAUUAUCCAUGAUCAUAACCUACAAUAACUCUCAUUGCUUGUAAUCUAAUUACUCAAUUGAUAUAAAAAUUUUCACAUAUAU